Molecule: ribosomal RNA, 468 nt
Filed under: uncultured bacterium
Lineage: Bacteria
Description: partial 16S ribosomal RNA
Rfam family: Bacterial small subunit ribosomal RNA
Source: RNAcentral
GACGAACGCUGGCGGCGUGCUUAACACAUGCAAGUCGAACGGAAAGGCCCUGCUUUUGUGGGGUGCUCGAGUGGCGAACGCGUGAGUAACACGUGAGUAACCUGCCCUUGACUUUGGGAUAACUUCAGGGAACUCGGGCUAAUACCGGAUAGGAGCUCCUGCUGCAUGGUGGGGGUUGGAAAGUUUCGGCUGUUGGGGCUAGAUUCGCUGGUUAUCCGCUUGUUAGUGGGGUUGUUGCUUACCAAGGCUUUGACGGGUAGGCCGCCUGGGAGGGUGGACGGCGACAUUGGUACUGAGAUACGGCGCAGACUGCUACGGGAGGCAGCAGGGGGGAAUAUUGCACAAUGGGCGGAAGCCUGAUGCAGCAACGCUGCGUGCGGGAUGACGGCCUUCGGGUUGUAAACCGCUUUCGCCUGAGACGAAGCGUUAGUGACGGUAAUGGGUAAAGAAGCACCGGCUAACUACGUG